CCAGUUGGCUGGGUGGCCGCGCUUUAUGUAUGAAAAUAUAUUCAAGGUGAGGAAAGUCCGGGCUCCACGAAAACUCGAUGCCGGAUAACGUCCGGCGAAGGUGACUUCAGGGAAAGUGCCACAGAAAAUAUACCGCCUUUUAAUCAAAGGUAAGGGUGAAAUGGUGGGGUAAGAGCUCACCGCAUUUUUGGCAACAAAAAUGGCAUGGUAAACCCCGUCGGGAGCAAGACCAAAUAGGGAUGGUGUGAACAUGUAGUAAUGUGUUCUAGAUGUGUUUUCGGUCUAACCAUCCGGGUAGGUUGCAUGAGGUGGCAUGUAAAUGUCAUCCUAGAUGAAUGGUCACCAAUCUCCAUUUUAGAGAUACAGAACCCGGCUUAUAGGCCAACUGGUUUU
RNAcentral lists this RNase P RNA (393 nucleotides) under Candidatus Liberibacter europaeus. RNAcentral's name for it is "RNase P RNA component class A". It matches the Rfam family "Bacterial RNase P class A". Rfam says of the family: Ribonuclease P (RNase P) is a ubiquitous endoribonuclease, found in archaea, bacteria and eukarya as well as chloroplasts and mitochondria. Lineage: Bacteria; Pseudomonadati; Pseudomonadota; Alphaproteobacteria; Hyphomicrobiales; Rhizobiaceae. The record is from RNAcentral.